Fukomys damarensis (Damara mole-rat) is the source of this 2667-nucleotide long non-coding RNA. NCBI's taxonomy places the organism in Eukaryota, Metazoa, Chordata, Mammalia, Rodentia, Bathyergidae. The record is from Ensembl.
CUGUUCUGAUCCACCAGUAGGGGACACUAAAGAGCGGGAACGGACCUGGAGGCGGGGCUUCAGCUCGGAGGUUUGGGAUACAAUGGCGCCUCACCCUGACCGGAAAAGUGUACCUUCGGCGCCGCAGGGGACUCCGAAUACUUCGGAGAUGAACCGUGACCCGGAGUCCUUGUCUGGCCUCACCGCCCCAGCGGCGGCUGGGCAGUGGCCCUGUUCCUGCCGGACCCACCAAUAUCAAGCUCAAUUGCGUCCCCAAGGAUUACAUGACUGCGUGUUCCUUUCCUGGCUGACAUCCCGCUUCUCUGACUUCAUCGCUGAAUUACAAAAGGAUCUUCAUUGGUUUGUCCCUCAAGGUAACACGGUGAAAGAGGUCCUUCUCUGGAUCGAGGACCUCUGUUUCCAAGGCACUCUUUCUGACUUUUCAUCUGAUGAGAUUUGCUUGUUAACAUUCUUCCUCCUGUGCUGGUUAACGCUCCCACCCCCACUCCACUUUCAUGAUAUACCCCUAUGUUAACUUGCCAUCCAGGCUUUCUAGUCUUUUACAUAGCCCUAACCCUCGUUUGGGCAAUUGGCAAUUGGGUUUUUUUUUUUUUUUUUUCUUUUUCUCCUGAAGAUUUGUGUGACACACAAAAAUUCGCCUUCACUCUUCUCUUCCUUCUCCUGGCAGGAUUUAUUGCUGUUCCAUCAUGUACCUCUCUCUUCAGUCCCUAACUGAGCUCUUCUUCCUUUACUCCUUCCUAAAGUCCCAUACCUACAGGCCUGAUAGGUUGAUAAUUUCCCUUGUCAUCAUUAUCCCAAGUGGAAAGACACUGCCCAGCUGUGUACCUAACUGUGAACGCCCUGGCACCACCUGGGUGAUAGACCAUAGGCUGGGAGGAAUUAAAUCCCUACAUUAUUGGACAGGCACUUUCGUGUCAUAUACCUAUAUGAACUCACAAUGUUACAAGACCACUCUGUACUUACAGUGGCCAAGCCUACCAUAUGGGGAAGAUUACAGACUCAGAUACUUAUUACUGCAGUGGGUUCAUUGGCUUGCUGGACACUGACUACCCACUGAGGAAUGUCAGAUGAAGGGACUGUACAAGAUCAGUCACGAAAACAACAGCUAAAAGAGGUAGAAAAACAACUCAUCAGAAGCUCUUAAGACACCUCCCUCAUAUAAGAGCAUUGAUGUGUCUUCCUUAAAAAAACAGCAGUUGAGACACAUAAAAGGCUCCUGCACCUCUUUAAUACCACCCUGCUUAGCUUGCCAGGCAACCAAAUUGAGUGCUAGAUGUGCCUGUCACCUCGAUUCCAGCCAUAUGUCCCCAUACCAAUUCCCCUUAACUGGACUAUCCCUGUCCCUGAAAAGAUCACAACAAUAUUAGGUCCCUUUGCAACUCAAUUAAAACCCUCCACACGGUGAUUGGACCUGUAUAAAUUCAUCCAUCAUAAAUCAGUACAACUCUACCCCUUGUGCUGAAGUUAUCCAUGUUCCUAAGUCAGGCAUAACCUGUCUCCCUAAGGGUUUGUUUUACCUCUGUGACUCCCAAGCCUCUUGCUGUCUCAACUUAACCCCUUCUUCCCGCUGUUAUGUAGGCUUCCCUAGCCUUCCCCUCACAGUUUACACAGAAACCCAGUUAUUACAGCAAGUUCUGCCCUCACAACAGCCACCUAUCCACUAUCUCAAGAAGCACGUUCUCCCAAUACUUCCCUUUCUGAUGGGAGCUGAUAUUCUGGUGGGGAUUGGCACUGGGAUGGCGGGAAUCUCAACAUCAACACAUUUCUAUUAUUCCCUAUCCCAAGAGCUAAAUGAAGAUACGGAAAAGGUAGCUGACUUUUUAGUCAUCCUGCAGUCCCAAAUCAAUUCGCUGGUAGGUAUGGUACUCCAGCAUAGAUGGGCCCUGGACGUAAUAAGAGCAGAAAGAGGAGGGGAAGAAUAUUGCUGCUUUGUAAACCAAUCUGGCAUUGUUGGAGACAAGGUAAAGGAACUCAGGGAGUGCAUAGAAAAAUGUAGAUAAGACCUAGACCAGCUGUAUUCUCUGCCAGGAUACUUUGACCAAUGGCUUCCAUGGCUUCUUCCUUUCCUGGGUCCCCUCACCAUUCUCUGCAUAAUCCUACUGUUUGGAUCCUGUCUGUUCUGUUGUUUUCAAGAUUUCUUGCAGGAGUAUAUGUGGGCCUUUACCAACCAGACAGUCGGCGAAGUCAUCGUGGCCAGUUACCAGCCCCUUGCCAAGGAGGACCACACCACUGUCACAGGAAACUCUGUCACCCCAUACCCCUUAUCAACGCCCCUUGUCAGCAGGAAGCAGUUACAGAAGAAGAGACCUUCACCCCUAUUCCAUAAUAACAAGAGACUGGGAUGGUAGAGUUCCCUGCUAGAUAAAAUGGCCCUACUCCACAUUCUACAUGGCUCUUCCUGGCAGAUAAUAAAUUACUCUGAGGAAACAAUGGCCCAUUUUUCCCACCUUCCCACCUGGAAAUCCAAAUCUGCCAAUGGAUUGAAACCUCACCUCUGGCUGCAGCUAAACAUGUACCUCCACUAUGCUCACUCCCCUUAUGACUCCUUGUUUAUAUAAAAUCUCACCCAGCCAGCCCCUGCCCUGCUGCUCUCACUGUUGUCCGAGACAGCCCGGCAUCCCCUCCUGUAUACCCUGUACCCCUAAUAAAAGCCUAGUUUCUGUUGUU